RNAcentral lists this transfer RNA (69 nucleotides) under Rattus norvegicus (Norway rat). It matches the Rfam family "tRNA". From Rfam's summary of the family: Transfer RNA (tRNA) molecules are approximately 80 nucleotides in length. The record is from Rfam by way of RNAcentral. Lineage: Eukaryota; Metazoa; Chordata; Mammalia; Rodentia; Muridae.
GGGGAUUUGGCUCAAUGGUAGAGCACUUGCCUAGCAAGCACAAGGCCCUGGGUUCGGUCCCCAGCUCCG